RNAcentral lists this ribosomal RNA (449 nucleotides) under uncultured bacterium. Its description in RNAcentral is "bacterial SSU rRNA". It matches the Rfam family "Bacterial small subunit ribosomal RNA", at positions 331 to 794 of the family's 1533-position model. The record is from RNAcentral.
CCAGACUCCUACGGGAGGCAGCAGUGGGGAAUAUUGGGCAAUGGGCGCAAGCCUGACCCAGCAACGCCGCGUGAAGGAAGAAGGCCCUCGGGUUGUAAACUUCUUUUGUCAGGGACGAAGAAAGUGACGGUACCUGACGAAUAAGCCACGGCUAACUACGUGCCAGCAGCCGCGGUAAUACGUAGGUGGCAAGCGUUAUCUGGAUUUACUGGGUGUAAAGGGCGUGUAGCCGGGUUGACAGGUCAGAUGUGAAAUCCUGCGGCUUAACCGCAGAACUGCAUUUGAAACUGUUGAUCUUGAGUACUGGAGAGGCAGACGGAAUUCCUAGUGUAGCGGUGAAAUGCGUAGAUAUUAGGAGGAACACCAGUGGCGAAGGCGGUCUGCUGGACAGCAACUGACGGUGAGGCGCGAAAGCGUGGGGUGCAAACAGGAUUAGAUACCCUAGUAAA